UUUUAAUUUUCGCUGAGUCCUUGAAUGGAAAAGGAACGGGGGAACCAGUCGGGAGAUGAACCUGAUCUCUCUGGGGUGAAUCCUGUAGACAAGAUAACGGUCUAUGGGUAGGGCGACUCUCACGCCCGAAUCCGUCAGCUAACCUCGUAAGCGUAUCGAGAGAGGCAAC
This is a non-coding RNA of Paenibacillus sp. Y412MC10, 169 nucleotides long. Lineage: Bacteria; Bacillati; Bacillota; Bacilli; Caryophanales; Paenibacillaceae. The record is from Rfam.